This 471-nucleotide ribosomal RNA is filed under the name uncultured bacterium. RNAcentral's name for it is "bacterial SSU rRNA". It matches the Rfam family "Bacterial small subunit ribosomal RNA", at positions 335 to 799 of the family's 1533-position model. The record is from RNAcentral.
ACUCCUACGGGAGGCAGCAGUGGGGAAUAUUGCACAAUGGGCGCAAGCCUGAUGCAGCCAUGCCGCGUGUGUGAAGAAGGCCUUCGGUUGUAAAGCACUUUCAGCAGUGAGGAAGGCGGAGUCGUUAAUAGCGGCCUCGUUUGACGUUAGCUGCAGAAGAAGCACCGGCUAACUCCGUGCCAGCAGCCGCGGUAAUACGGAGGGUGCGAGCGUUAAUCGGAAUUACUGGGCGUAAAGCGCAUGCAGGUGGUUUGUUAAGUCAGAUGUGAAAGCCCGGGGCUCAACCUCGGAAUAGCAUUUGAAACUGGCAGACUAGAGUACUGUAGAGGGGGUAGAAUUUCAGGUGUAGCGGUGAAAUGCGUAGAGAUCUGAAGGAAUACCGGUGGCGAAGGCGGCCCCCUGGACAGAUACUGACACUCAGAUGCGAAAGCGUGGGGAGCAAACAGGAUUAGAUACCCUGGUAGGAUAGAG